Molecule: non-coding RNA, 5300 nt
Organism: Lepisosteus oculatus (spotted gar)
Lineage: Eukaryota; Metazoa; Chordata; Actinopteri; Semionotiformes; Lepisosteidae
Source: RefSeq, a predicted model, not a curated record
CUAAAAUAUGACCAACACUUUGUUGAAAAAAUAGUUUGAAGAAGUUGACUCUAUUAUAAAAAUCAAAAAUAUUAUUCCAGGCUGUGAUUAUCAUGACGAAAGAGCAGUAUUUCGAAGUUCUUUAAGAAACAUACCUUACAUAAAUGUGAUACUUUGUAUCAAAACGAAAUAUGUUAGACUAUGUGUAAUAGAAAAAGAACAUUCAAGUUUACAUUUUUUUAAUUUAUGAAGAAUUCAUCGUAAUAUGCGGGCCUUCAUCAAGAAGUAUUACCGACUAAAAUGUCGUUUACAUAAGAUAAAUAGAAUUUGAAUGCUGAAGGCUAAUACAAGCAAAGUUAUCUUAUUAUUCUGGUUAUGCCCCCAGGCACUUUUUAUUUCUCGGAAUAAGUCAAUAUUUAUAUGUAAAUGGUAUAUAUAACAUAAUCUUAAAUAUUUAAUACUUUAUUUAGAAAUAUUAUUUAUUGUUUAAGCUUUGUAAGAAGAACCCUGUUAACCAUAAGCAUUUCAAUAAGCUUUUUUUUUUUCAAAAGAUCAUUUCUAUUCGAUGCUAGUCAUUGGCCCUUUAUCCGUUUUAUCAUUAGUUGAUUUGUAUUUUUUCAGUCCUGGGUGAUUUUUACAAAAUAAACAGAUAAAACAGGACAACAUUGGACGGUUUUGUUCAGAAGUUCCCAUCAUUGCAACGCAAGAACGUUGACAUAUUUUACGGGACCUUGGAUUACGGAGUUAAGGUCUACAUGCAAGGUUCUGCCCAUUUGAAAUAAUAUACUAAGACAAAGAUUCCUUGUAAAAUUGUACUAAAGAGCACUUCUUAUUUUCGUAAAAACUGGAAUGGAAAUGACUAAAAAGAACAUCGGAGCAAGGGAUUUGCUGGAGAAAACUCCUACACAUUUAUGGAAGAUUCAUAUUUGCGAAGGAGGACAACUGAGAAAAAAAAAUCAAAGAAAACGUCGUUUGAAAGCUUCCUCAUUCUUAUGACAAACACAAAAGGAGCUUUACCUUCAGCCACUCCAAGACUGGCAGCAAAGUGAAACGGUACUGAUAACAAGACAUUCCUCCAGGCGGUUUGCUCUGUUCUGCUUGAAUCCAGCCUCUGUCAGAGAAGACGUGAUGUCAUAAGAACUGCUAUAUGGAGGCAAUAACAGGCCAAGAUGGUGGGUCCUGGCUGUGGGUCCUCUAGGCAUAUCUAUCAGAAAACCCCUCCCUUGUCUUGUGAAAUACGCUUUUGCUGUCAAUGAAACAUAAAAGAAAUAUCAAUUGUAUUUGGAAAUUUGUGCCUUUAAUGUAUUUAUUAAUGAACAUAUUUUUAUAGUGAUUUCUUGUUGAAGUCUGCAGUGAAUAAUUCAGGAAAGGUGCACCUACUGUGUGAAAGACGAUAUCUCCUUUUUGACUUUUGGAGUCCUAUUUUACAUUUACCCACUGGUGGACCAACUCUCCCAUUACAUGUGACUGAGCUCUGCUUCUGCAGUUUCAGCUGAUAUCAAUAAGGAGGUCAAAUGGUGAAGUUCUAUUCUGUAUUUCAUAGUGCUCUGUUAUCCUGAUAUCUAUGUCAUCCUUAAGAAAAUAAGAACAUUUCUUUAAAAUACUUCACAUAAAGGAUUUGUACCUUUUGUCAUAACGUUUGAUUGACCUUUUUUUGUCAUAAGGUUUGAUUUUAAUUGAAAAAAUAUACUUUAUAUUUUACGAUUCAUAUGUUUACCAAAAGGGGAGAGGGGGUUGAAAAGUAAAGUACUGUACUAAAUGUGGAGCUGAUACUUUUCAAGGCAAAAACUUUACAUCAGUGUUGUAUCUCAAUUUAUGCCCUGUUCUUCUUGCUAAAACUACUUUUUUUUGCUGUUUUUACGGGAUGUGUUUUGAUUCCCUGGUGUCCAGUACAAUAUGUUGAUUUUAUGGCCUAAUUGCUUCACUCACACUUGCCCUGAUUAGGAAAAUGCAUCUCUGUGCUUAGAACCCUGCUGCAAUUUGGGAUGCUUCUGAAGUAGGAGAAAUCACUGCUUUGACCACCUCUGGCCCUUGUGGCCACAGGAAGACAUGCUGUGGACUAAGAGCUGAAUAUUUCCCAUGAUGCCUGGCUGUUCUAAACUGUGGCUUUCUCAAAUGAUACCAGUGCAGCUGUCUGAAUUAAUUUUAGUCUUAUUACUCUACAGUAUGUAAAAAAAAAAUAGUCUUCUUUAUCAGCUCAGCCUGCCCUGUGGAAAGAUGCUACAUGUUUACUCUCUGAAGUCUUUCAGAUCGUUCUCCUUGCUUGUAUUGUGGAGUGUUUUUUUACAGUGGAAAGCUUUGCUUCAGGUUUUUCCAUUUACAUUCGUUUAAUACUGUAUAAUUACCCUGGGUUCUGGGCCUGUCUGCCCCCUCGUUGGUUGUACUAAUGCAGAGCAAUACAGUAUGUGUAUUUAUGGAAAUGAUAGGCUCAGGAAACGGACCUGUAGUAUAUUACAUUAUUUUCAAAUGUGCCAUUAACAUGCUCAAAGUAACUGCUGUAGCUCUGUGUUUUUGAAAUCCACGCUAUAUAGCUUACUGUGAAACAGCGGUCGAUAAAUGUUUUAUUUUUAUGCUCUCUUGAUAUUUAAUAUCAAAACCUUGCAAAACCCUUAAAAAACAAUAGCUUUGCUGGCUCAGAGGUUUACUUAACACCCUUUACAUUAACAAAUGCCAAGAGAUUUCUAGUAAUGAAUCAAUGAAUUAAUUAACAUGCAAGAAGCAAAAAUAAAUUAAUCGGUCCUGAAUUGUUUGAUAGUUUGGCUUUUUAAUUAAUUAAUGUUAUCCACUUGAGGUAGACAGAUUCAAUUUGCAGCACAAACAAAACUGGAAUGUAUUAGAUCCUUUUGCCAGUAAAGGAUUAUUUGGUGUAGUGUCAGCCCUUUUCAAUCUUUCCAGCAUUUUCCACGAUGAUCAAUUGUAAGGCUGGCCGGAUUCAAGGCCAUAAUUAGCACUGAUCCUCAGUUACAUUGUGCUGUCUCCAGUAUGGAGAGAAUGGAAGAGAGCCAGUGAGACCAUCAAUACUUCAUCAUAAAUGGCUUUUUUAACAAAUGUUCAGAAAGGCUGACAGAAACCAAGUUCUCCUUUACCUCUGCUACUGUACUCCUAAUUCCUAAUCAUCCAUGACAUGUUUUUCCAAAAAUGUAUAAAUGAUAUAAUAACCCCCUUUCUCUUCCUUAUAUUCUUAUAUAUCUCUCAUCCAGUCCAUCUCCAGAUUUGCAGCUGCUCCUUGGUUAACUCUUCACUCUGUAUGGGGGUCCCAGCCAUAUUGCCUUACAGGUCACAACCAGCGGAGACAAAACUCAUUGUUGGUUAUACUGUAUAGUCCACAUUCACAUUCAAGUGGGAUAAGCCAAAACGUCUCACACCUGACUCCUUUAUAAACAUUCAUAUUUCAUUCACAUUACUCUUCAUGAAUACAGGCAUAUCAAACUAAAAUAUCCAAACUGGAGAACUGAAUUGAUUCAUUCAAUUAAAAUCUGGGAAACAGAUUUUAGGUUAAAAAAAUAAGAGUUUCAAAAAACAGAACAUUUGUUGUAUAAGAAAAGCAUACAAAAGGAAGCAAGACAAAGCUCACCACUGGUUAUACUCUAAAGCCUACAGUACAUUCAGCUAUUGAGGAUUGUGUAGGCAUAUUUUCACAGAGGAACAUCCACAAUGGCCAGCCUCAAAAGAGGCUUACAUUUUGCUUUAGUCAUUUACUGUGCAUGUGUUUCCAAGCCUUACUCCAUAUAGUACAUUGUAUCCCAAGAGUAUGUUCAUCAAAAAUCCAUACUUCCAGGUCUGGACUGUGUCUGUGCACUUAAGAGUAAACAGGCCUGCUCUCCUGUUUUGCUGUCAUCUCUACUUACUUUUCUUCAUUGUUAACAGGGACUGGUACUUUAUGAAAUCACAAAAAAAUGUUUAACUACCAGUUCGAACUUAAAUUUGCACACUGAAAUAUUCCUUCAAUUCAAUUUUCCAUGUUUUAUUAUUUUUAAUAGGAAACUACUGUAAAUUUAGCAUGGUGGUAAAAGUGUCCCAAUUAGUUCCAUAUUAAGCCUGUCUCAAUACAGAGGAUCUUAGAAUUGACCAGAAAUUGAAUACAGUUUUUUGUUGUAAAGCUAUAUUUUUUAGAAGAAUUUCACUUAUGUUUAAAGAAGAAUAUUAAUACAAUAUGGACUAAACGCUGUCCUUCCUUGAAGGCAUUCACAAACAUAGUGCUUUUGCUGUCAUGCCUACUAAUUACUAUAAAAUAAGUGUAUCUGUGCCAAAAUCAGAGGCUGGAGCUUAAUUUCCUGACCAAAACCAGUCACUAUAAAAACAGCUGAAAACUUUUGAAAUGUAACACAUUUGGGGAAAACCAAAGCAUUUUAAUUCUACAUUCAUGUUAUUGGUGUGGUGAAUAAUGUCACUGCCUCUCAGCUGCAGAGUCCUCAAGUUGAUUCUGGUCUGGGGCACAUUUCUGUUUGGAGGUUCUUCCAUCUCCCAGAGACAGGCUGGUGGGUUAAUCAGAGGCUGUGGUGAAGGGAACUCUCUGAUUGCUUAACUCACCUGCCCUUCCAGCACUGUCUGAGGCCUCACCGCUUUGUGCUCAAAAUUGAGUGUGGGUGUCGAUCAUAUGAAUCCUUUUUUCUGCUAUAAAACCACAUGCAAGACCAAAUAUCCAUACUAACACAACCUUCCAGCCUUUCAAACACGACUGGAAAGUCUAAAGAUGACUGGAAUUACAAUAUUUUGGUUGGCUCCUAAAUAUGUGAUGUUUUUAUUAAAUAUGUGAUUUAUUUACAAAAUUUAUUCCACAGCUCUCAUAAUUUCACUCCUCAACAAUCAGGGAAUGAAGAAAUAAGAUUCUCAGUUUCUUCAAAAUAGACUACAAACUCUUACAUUCCUGCCCCCAUGGAUAAAAUGUAGCUUUAAAACAUUGAUUUGAUUUCAGUUUAAAUAGGGCAUCUCUGAGAAUUUGGAAAUCUGGGAUAAUCAGACUAAAACUAUUAAAACGUAAUAUUUAAAACAAUAUCAUCAAACUUUAAAGGGUUACAAACCCUUUAUCAUGUUACUGGCACUGCCUUUUUAGUAGCCUACUUACUACAGUAUACUCAUUUGAAGAUGUUGUUAUCCACUGACAGUGUUAUAUUGUGUUAAUUUACUUUUUUGGCACAGUUAUAUUAUAUUUUUGCAAAGGCUGGUUAAUCUGCAGUGAUUCAGUCCCUGUUUAUGUAAGUGAUAUUUGUAAAGACAAGAUAAACUGUUUAAAGCUAACUUGUGUGUUGUCAGUCAUCAUCUGCCCUGUAAAACAAUGUGUUUCUGUGGCAAACUGCCAGAAAAUAAAAAAUACAUAUUUU